CCUACGGGGGGCAGCAGUGGGGAAUAUUGCACAAUGGGGGGAACCCUGAUGCAGCGACGCCGCGUGAGUGAUGAAGGUUUUCGGUUUGUAAAGCUCUAUUAGCAGGGAAGAAAAUGACGGUACCUGACUAAGAAGCACCGGCUAACUCCGUGCCAGCAGCCGCGGUAAUACGUAGGGGGCAAGCGUUACCCGGAUGUACUGGGUGUAAAGGGAGCGUAGGCGGUGUAGCAAGUCAGAUGUGAAAGGCCGGGGCUUAACCAGUGGACUGCAUUGGAAACUGUUAGACUAGAGUACAGGAGAGGUAAGUGGAAUUCCUGGUGUAGGGGUGAAAUGCGUAGAGAUCAGGAGGAACACCAAUGGCGAAGGCGGGUUACUGGACUGUAACUGACGCUGAGGCGCGAAAGCGUGGGGAGCAAACAGGAUUAGAUACCCGUGUAGUC
RNAcentral lists this ribosomal RNA (440 nucleotides) under uncultured bacterium. Its description in RNAcentral is "partial 16S ribosomal RNA". It matches the Rfam family "Bacterial small subunit ribosomal RNA", at positions 338 to 795 of the family's 1533-position model. The record is from RNAcentral.